GGUAGCGUGUCCGAGCGGCCGAAGGUGCUUCACUCGAAAUGAAGUGUGCGGUAACCCCGCACCGCGGGUUCAAAUCCCGCCGCUACCG
Molecule: non-coding RNA, 88 nt
Organism: Brachybacterium sp. P6-10-X1
Lineage: Bacteria; Bacillati; Actinomycetota; Actinomycetes; Micrococcales; Dermabacteraceae
Source: Rfam